UAUAUAUUACAUGUAUAUAUAUGCUUGUCAAGGUAAAUUCCGUGUGUCUCACUACCAGGUUGCCUAGUUCCUUAAAAUCCUUUCCGUACUUACUUAUUUCAUCACUCGGUUUGUUGAAGGCUGACAUAAGACUUCCCUCUGUUAUUGUGUGUGACCAAAUUAUUUCAUAUGCUUUAAUAUUUUCUAUUCAGAAAAAAUACCCAUGUGUGUGAUAUUUCUAAUGUUUUCCAUAUUAAAUUCUAGAUUGAUUAAUGUUGAUAUCACCGUUCUUUCUUUCCUGUGUGUUUUCUUGGCAUUCCUGUGUUCCCCCGAUCCGUCCCAUUUUGUGUAACACAGAAUGUAUUUAGAACUGAGACCCUUCCAACCUCUUUGCCUUGUAGCCGAAAUAAUGAAACCAGCUACCCUUAGGUAAUAAUGUGCAUGCUUGACCUCACUUUUAUCACCCUGUCUCGAACUUCCUGUUUUUACCUCUCCUUUCUAAUUUUCUUACUUAGUUUUUUAAUUUAAUUUUUUCCCCUGAGCAUGCAUGAGCUGUUUUAACUAAAGUGAAGAAUAGAGUUUCUGUGUUUCAGCAUUUUUCCUUCUGUCCCCCCUUUCCUGUCCUGAGGAAAAUCUAUAUUGCCACCUUAGUGUGCCCACUACGGCCACAUGUUUCCAGUCUCCCUAUCUCAUGUCUCCAGAUGUCUUCUCAACAUCAUGCUCAUUUUAAAUUUUUUGUGCUGUUUCCCCCUUUGGGCUUCCAGGCACGGCUCUGCACGUGAGCUUAGCCAAAAGGCUGAAAGGUCUUCAUUCUGCAAACGUGACGAACGCAGUGGUUUUCAGCACGUGGGUCACGACCCCUCAGGGGUUAAAUGACUCUCACAGAGGUGCUUAAGACCAUCGGAAAACACAGAUAUUUACACUAUGAUCCGCAACAGCAGCAACAUCGCAGUUAAGGAGUAGCAAUAAUAAUCUUACGGUCGGGGUCAGCACACCAUGAGAAACUGUAUUAAAGGGGCACAGCAUGAGGAAGGCUGAGAACCAUGGCUCUAAAGGGAUGCCUGCCUGAACCUCUCUCGACAGUUCAGCCCUGAGCUGAGCUUCUCGUCUGCUCACACAUUCUGCUGCUAUUCUUCAGAGCCCUCCCUCAUGAAGCCACCACACCCCCAGGCACAGAUACAGAAGCCAGGGAGUGACCCUGGGCUCCCUUGCCCUGCUUCCCACCCCUCCCUUAAGCCUUCUCUCCUGAUUCUCCACUCCUGCAGCCUUUGCUCAGCCCUCUCAUCACCCUGAUUUCCCCUCAGAGCCCCUGUGUGGGCCAUAUUAUAUGUAUAAUGGCCGUAUUAUUCCCCACGUAAUAGUUUCUCAGGGUCCCUUACAUUGUACAUGAAAAACCUACACUCUUUUAUGCAGCAGACAAGACCCUCUGUAGUUGGGCUGCUGCUCACGUUUCCAGACACAGCUCCUAUCACUUUCUCAUGCAGACUUCGCUUCAGUAACUGAGCUGUGUCCCAGGAACGGCCUCUGAGACUUUGCUCAUGCCAUUCCCUCUCAUUCUUUACGACUUUUGGCUCAAGUUCUCCAGAUCGUUAUCUGGCUUCUUUGAUCUACUAACUUCUCAGUUUGUGGAUUUACCUCUGACUUUCAUCUAAGAUUAGCACUGUUUUGUUUCUGGCUCUGUUACACAUCCUUGCUAGAAAACACUUGACCUCCCUUAGAAACUGGUUCUGUGUGGAGCACACAGUGGGUGCUCAGUGACCUUCCUUAGAAACUGGUCCUGUGUGGAGCACACAGUGGGUGCUCAGUGACCUUCCUUAGAAACUGGUUCUGUGUGGAGCACACAGUGGGUGCUCAGUGACCUUCCUUAGAAACUGGUCCUGUGUGGAGCACACAGUGGGUGCUCAGUGACCUUCCUUAGAAACUGGUCCUGUGUGGAGCACACAGUGGGUGCUCAGUGACCUUCCUUAGAAACUGGUCCUGUGUGGAGCACACAGUGGGUACCCAGUACACAUGUGGGUUCAUGACUCAGUGUCUGUUCAGGAAUGUACUUGCUGUGAUGGAAUGAUUUAGGUGUUUGGGGCAGCAAGUUAAUUUGAACAGAGCAGGAGCACAUGGCUGUUGGCUUCCUAGUAGUUAAGAAACAGCGCCUUGUGACUAUUCAAAGUCAGCUAGGUGCACGGCACUAGAAAAGGGAAGAGACUGUACUUCUAACAGUGAUGACCUGGACUCAGAUUCUUGGGUUCAUGGACAUCGUUGCUGAUGAAACUUUAGCAUGGGGGUGGUCUGGACAGCAGCACCUGCCUUGGCUCUUCAAGAUUCUGGAAAGAGCAUCUGCCAUCACAGAAGACGUGGAGAGAUAUUUUUCUAGCUCAACCACUUUAAUUAGAGGUGAGGCCACUGUGGCAUUUGUUCUGUUGCCCCAGAGCUGAGAGGGACAGAUGUGCAGUGGGCAAUGAAAACAUUCAGCAACUCAAUACCUGAGGAUCGAAGUGGGCUGCUAGGCCGUGGCUGCUGGGAACUUCCACAGCAGAUGGGCCAUGAGGAAAUGAAAAGUCAUUUCCUGCGUGGACAGCCACACUGACAAUGACACUGCUAGGCACCAGAACACCACCUCCACCACACAGAGCACACAGAAAGGAAGGUAAGGCUCAAACGGCCAACUGGGAGGGCAGCUAUGGCUUUAUCAGCCGAUUGGUGACCACUGAGCUUUCCCUCUGGCUGUGCUUGUCAGCCGCUCACAGCCUCUGCUUUAGCUGGUCACACGAGGGAGGUGGGCUGGUGGCAUCCCCGGCGCCACCUCACAUGCCUGUGUGGGGAACCAGGAGAGAUGACGGACUGCUGUUUGUCUAAGCGUGGUGCAUGUGCAAAAGAAUGGUUAUUAUUAAUUAUUAAGAUGACCUCUCACUUAAACCUCGGCUAUCUUGUGCUCCUUUUCUCCACAGACCGUGUACGCCAUGCAUCUCAGUACUUGGGAGGCUGAGGCAGAAGCACUGUGUGGAUUGCGGCCAAUUCUUAAAGGAGAAGUAGAUAUUUUGACAUGAACCCAAACAUUCAGAAGAGAAGGUUAGAAGAAGGAAGUCCACCCUGGAGAGGCCCUGCUCAGAGGAGAGAUGGUGACUCCUCCCUGCUGUGAGCUCCAGGCCAGGCUCACCUUGGGUAGGUGGAGAGCUCUCACCACUUUGAUUGGUUUGCUUAUUAAUGUUUCAGUAUGGUCUUUCACUAAACACAGCCUUGAACUUGUAAUCCCUCUGCUUCAGUCUCUCAAGUAGUUAGGACAUCAGGCAUGUGCCCCUACUCUGGGCCUGGGUUCCUUGUUGAGAUAAUGACUUGAGACACUUUCUCGUCUCCUUCUCCAAUCUCGCUUUCAAUAACCUAGAAGCUUUUAGAUAUGCCACAAAUUAAUACGUAUCUCUUGUCAUGACUGAACAGCACUCUAGGAUGCUAAAGCAACACAUGGUUCAAAUAACUACAGCACAGUUUUUAAUCUAUCCACAAUCAUACAAGGGGCCACCACCAGCACUGACGCCAUCCCCAUUGAUGGCAUCACGUCCAUCGCUAGCCUUACUGCCACCAUCACCACCACCUUCAGAAUAUGAGUCCUUUAAUGAGAAAGUAACUUGGAAACAUUCCUUAACUUGGGGGGGGGUUGUGUGCUGGUGUUAAUCCCAGAAAAUAUUCUGAAAUAGGAUUUGGAAACAACUUUGAGGACUAAAGUUGUGAUCUCGAAGAGGUGACGUGAGCUCACUAAAAGUGCUUUACCCCAAGCCAAUGGUGUUGCUUCUUUAACAGGGAUAUUGAACAUCAGACCAAAGGAAUAUCAUUGAUAGCGAAUCAGGACCUUCCCAAGAUGUUUGACAAGCUUUGGUUGACGAUCUCUUGGAAAGGAGUACAGUGAAGCCAAGAGGGCUACGAGUCAUGUCAACAUCACCGCGCACAUCGAUACGUAGGCAACACAUGUAGCCUUUGAAAAUCCCAUCUCUCCUACCAGCCUUGCAAACACAGGCAAAGCUACUCAAACUGUCUGAGGUUCACCGUCCUUGCCCGAGAGAUGGGGUUAUUAAUAUCAGGCUCCUAGUGAUGACGUGGAUAUGUGAACCCGUUGUCUCUGAUGUCUAUUGUCAUCGGUCCCGUCCAGAAGGACAUUUCUGACAAUCUUGACCCAGUGGCAGUAGAUUGGUGAUCAUUUCUCCUCAGCAGGCCUACAUGGUCGGGAUCGAUCUAGCUAAGCAGAAAGGGGCUCUGAUGGAUGGGUAAGGUUGUGAUUUUCCUUCUUUUCCUGUGCAUGACAUUGGGCUGUCUCCUACAGGACAAAUAGAACACUUCUAAAACAAACAAAUACACAUGCGCAAGAAAAAAGAGAAAGAAAAAAAAAGUAAAAGUAGAAAACUAGAGAUGAUGACGUGGGGCUGAGGGUAGGGCACCGGAGGCAGCAGUGGCAGAGGCACAGGGACCCGUGGGACCUUCUCUUUCCAUGACGCGGGUGUCUGCGUGGGGUGGUGGCGGCCGUGAUGUUAUUUCAGCAGAAUGACUUUUGUCCGUUUCACACCACAUUUAGAGUCACCAGGAGUUUACUCUCAUCUGUAAAAUAUGUGGAGUUCACCCGUUUCCACAGCCAAGAAUUCCCUUCUGCCAGUGGGCAGUGGAGGUCCCUGGGUGGAACCGCAGCCAAGAAAAGCUUUCUGCAAAGGGCAGAGGAGCAGGGGGCUGGGUGUCUAGGCAUCUGGGGAGGAAGCUGCAGAUGUGACUGUUGCAAAGCACUGAAGGACCCGGGUGGUUAAUUCAUCCCCGGCUACUAGCAGGCAGGGUGAUGAAACCAAGAAGAGACAGAGGCCCUGAGAACUCUUACACUUCCUUCCCCACUCGAUAAGGGCGAAGCAGAUGAAUGGAUGGAUGCUGGUACUCUGUGCUCAUACGUCAGCCGUCAGCCACGAUCCACUCUUUAAUCCACCUUCCCUGGGGAGCUUCUCAGAGCUACCCUCAGCCAGGCCGACACACUUGGUGUGAGCGCGUUCUGCGACACAUGCGCCAGACUCAUUCUAGAGAAGGCCGACUUGAAGGAGAACCCAGAUGGGGAAGUCAUGGUUGCAGCAGGAGCUGGGACAACAUGGAGCUGUUCUGUCCUUUACAACAAGAGGGUACUUGUGAGCAAGUUGGGAAGUGCCUGAAGCCAGCUUUCCCAAGGCAGGAGGUGUCCCCCAUGGGAAUGGAGAAUUGAGGAGUACUGUGGGGGAGAACUAUCUCUUGCAAGGAGCCACAGCCCAGGUGAUACAAGUGUCUCACUCUAUAACAUCUCCAACCCAGGGGACGAAACCCCACCCAUGUUCUUCUUGCCUGGCCGUGAGCCCUAUCUGCCUGGGAGGGAGGGCUACCCUUUCUCCAAUUGGCACACAGGCCUGACUGCUAAGCACUUUGCACACACGGAUGCCGUGGUUCAACUGGUAAGGAUUUAUGGAACACCUGCUGUACGCGCAGACUCUGGGUGAGCUGGAGGAGGCCGAGAGCGUCUCCAUUCCUAGGUGACACUCUCGGAUACACUGUGAAUACAGAGGAGGAAGCUGGCUUCUCUCUUUCGAGACUUUACAGUCCGUGCCAGCUACAAUCAGACAGUGGAAACGGUUAAGAAGCAAAGAACAAAAUAGAGAAUCAAAUGCCACACUGUAGAGCGCAGGCCCUCGGUGCGAGAGAAAGCAUCGCCCUGGACUUCCUCGAGGAGGAGGGCAGAGUUUUAAGAAUGGCACCUAUGUCCAUUUUCAGCCAGAGAAGAAGCUGUGGGUGGGACCAGAGGUGGUCAAGUUAUCUGGGGCCUCCCCGUGAAGAUUUCCAAGCCCAGCGGCUUCCCUGGUGCCUCUCCCAGUCACGGAGCACUCUGAUGAGUCACCCUUAUUUCUGAGAGACAGGGCAGUUUCGGGUGUUUAGCUGGCUCAACGCGUUGCAUUUCCUGAGCCUCCAAUGCUGGCAGCUCGCGCUCUCGCUCUGGGAACACAUCAUCCGAGCCAGCAGGUGUUGCCUGAUCACCAUCUCCACAGCAAAGCGAGGGCUGAGUCAGCCACCUGUGUCUGGAAAUUUUUAAGUCCAACGGUCUGUGACAAGUAGGUUGACAGUCGGCUCUCCGAGCACACCAAGACCAGGGCUACUAAGCGCCAGGUAGCUCAGUGGUUGGAGAUGUGAAGACCUGGCUUUGGGGACCUUGGGUUACCUUUCUAGACCUCACCUUUGUCACACACAGAGGACUCAGCGUUACAGCAGAUCGGCAUGCUCGCUUUGGACUUUGCAAUCAAAACGGGAUCUUUCUGCUCUCCCGAGCUGGCUUCAUCUAGUCCUCCUGGCCUUGCCUAACCUUGACUUUGGUGAUGAAGGCAGGGCUGCCCCUGGCACGUGCAUGAGCUUCUGGGAUGGAGAGAACAUAACCCCAGUUUCACCUUGAGUGGGGCUCACAGACCCACCCUCGAGAACAUAGGCAUAUUAUCCUCUCCAUGGGCCUCAGGGUUUGGUUUCACAGGAAAAAACAGAGGUCGGAGAUGGUCUCUACCACCAUUCCCGGCUCUCGUAUGCUGUUAAAUACUGCCACAGUGUUCCUAAACACUGCUGAUCACUUGGGUGGGACCCUCUAACGCAGCAGCCCGGAAAAAUCCUCACGACAGCAUGGCUAAACUUUGAAAAAAAAGCAUAAAAGGAAGCCAAAGUCUCGAAGGUCUCAGGAGUAAGAAACAGAUAUAAAUUCAAAUGAGGUCAGGCCAUCUGAACCCACUUUCUCUCUAGAAUGACACAGAAGCAGACGUGUGUGCAGGCUUCCACCAGCUUUACUCUGUUAUUACCUGAGGCAGAGUCUUUCCUGUAGCUCAGGAUGGCCUCAAAUGCCCAGCUCUCUGGCCUCAGCUUCCAAGGGCUAGGCGUCUGCCACCACCCUUGCCCCUCUGUCAGUUUCAGAAGUGCCGUGUAAGAACUCGGCUGAGGGUGGAAGAUGAUUUCUUCCCCUAACCGUCUGGAAGGAAGAAAAAUGCUGACCUGUGGUAAUACUCCCUCAAUCGUCUGCUUGCUAAGGGACAGCAAUGCACCACGGGCCAGGAACUCUGUCUCCGUGCUCCUAACAAUAGUAACUUAAAAAAAAUUAGAAUGGCAAUAUUUUUAACAUGUACAGUUAAUAAAUGUGCUGGCCCACAUUCAGGGCUGACUGCGGAACUCUUCCCGUGCCUGGAGCUAACUGUGCAGUGGCCCCGCAGUGGCCCUCGGCGGCCCUUGGUGGCUGUCUGGGGAAAGGUGAUGAAGAUACCUACCCACCUGAGGUCCCUUUAUGCUUAUUGUCUACAGGAAGACGGAUGGUGCCAAGAAGGGAAGGGAGGUGCGAGCAGGGUGUGCGAAAAGGCAGGAGAGAGCUUUCACCUUCCUGAGUAUUUUCGGCAAUGGGCUCUAAUCAUCCUGCUUGCGUGGGCUGGUAAAGAGGCUAAUUUUGGUUCGCUGCAUGACCCUGGGUCUGCGUUCUUUGCCGCCUGACCAGGAGCUGCUGCAGUGGAAUUCCUCAGUGAAUCUUCAGGGCGGGGUGGGCUGGGGAGGGGAUCGGUUCAUGUGUAUUGCCAGGAACCUCCCCGGGGAGGAGCAGGUCCUAAUUCCAGAAAUGACCAUAAACACUAAAGCCUGCCUCGCCACAGGACUUUCAAGAGGAUUGGAAUGUUUUUAGAAUUACCAGCCGCUUCUUUAUUUCUUGUUAACCAAUUUGGGGGGAAGGGGCAAAAAUGUCACAGAAGACAAGGAAUCAAGGGGGCCCCUGGUGCCAUGUCUCUCAUCCAUUCUUCCACCCUCUCCUGCCAGAAUUGCUGUGCUAGUUAGGGUUUUUAUUGCUUUGCUCGUUUCAACUGUAACUCUCAGGUGACACUCCAUCCCCGACGGCAGUCAGGACAGGGACGCAAAGGAACCUGAAGGCAGGAGGUGAUACAGAAGCCAUGGGGCAUGCCGGCUACCACCUUGCUCCCCACGCCAUGCUCAGCUUUCUGUUUUAUACAAACCAGGUCUACCUGUCCAGGGGCAGCAACACUCCCAGUGAACUGAGCCCUCCCACAGCCAUCAUUAAUCAAGAAAAUGCCCCUUCCAACUUGCCUCCCGCGAUCGAAUUGAGGCGUUUCCUCAAUCGCAGUCCCCUUCCCCAGAGAAACCAUAGCUUGUGUUAAGUUGACAAAACCAACCAGGACAGUUGCGUUUGAAAGUCCUCCACGUGUUCAGAAGUCCUCAGAGCAUUGGAUUCCUUGUCCUGAAAUAGCUGUCACCCGACUUGGGCAUAGGCAUAGGGGUAGAGGAUAAGCGACUGGGCAAUCUAACACAGAAUGAGUCAUGUAGCAGCCUGGUGAAUGAUGUGGCUGUGGCCACUGCUUUACAGUGAAGCCAGCUUUCCCUGAAUGACAUUCAUGGUCAUACGUGAAAUAGUCUUACUCAUCCGCUCGGGCUAUAGCGCCAUCUUCCAAACACACUUCACCCACCUGUUCCGUCUUCAGCUAGGAGGUGCUGGUUCACUGGAAGUGAAGACCUGCUGUCCUGCACCUACCUCUCCUCUUCCUCAUCCUCGUCAUUCUCCUCCUCUUCCUCCUAAGUUCCUUCUAAGGUUCGAGCUCCUAAAUCGACCCUGCUGUGCUCACACUAAAACCUCCUCAUGAUCCAUUUGAGUGUUUACAGGCUGCCUGGCACUUUGGUUUGCCCACGAGCACUUCACGUCUGCUGCCCUAUCCCAUCAGAGGGACAGGCAGCCAUCGAGCUCAUCCCUAGAUUGUACCUUAAUUGCUUUCCCAUCAUGCUCCAAGUGCUGCACACAGUCCAGUGUCGAGAACGCCAACCUCAAACACUGGCAUUACGUUUCUAGAACUGGAAGGGAAUAAAAGAAAAUCUGU
This 8852-nucleotide small RNA is filed under the name Rattus norvegicus (Norway rat). Its description in RNAcentral is "uncharacterized LOC102552590". Lineage: Eukaryota; Metazoa; Chordata; Mammalia; Rodentia; Muridae. The record is from RNAcentral.